UUCCAAUCCGAUAUAUUUUUUCAGGUGCAAAGCAUGCUCCUUUUGCUCCUCGGGACAUACAAAAAAAUGAAAUCAACCCAUUUCUUGUUAUUUUUACUGAUGCCACCUCAUCUAAUACAUCUAUGAUUUUUCAUCGAGACUUCAAAUGGAUCUCCCAGAUAUAUCUUGACCGAUCCAAAAAGGAAAAAAGAGUCAGAACUAGGCUUGGAUUAACUAGACUCCACGACCACUUUACUUCUAUUGUUUCCUUUUUUAUUCGCCACUGGGAUCUAUUCCUUUUCGCUCUGAUCUCCAUUCGACGAGCCAUCAGUUUCAAACAAAACAUCUGCCUCCGUCAUCAUCUCCCAGACCAGGACUAUAUCUUGAAUUAAAAGACAAAGAAACUCAGCAUAUCGUCAUCCCCUCCUCCUAAGCCCGUAGUAGACGGUCGUCACUAUCUAACACCAUUACCAUGGCAGCCAGCAACACCAAGAGGCUUCAAGCUGGCAGAGCCCACAUCUAUACAGAUAGUGUUGCUGGAAGGGGGAGCUGAGUGCUGGUAUCUACUACCUCCUGCCCUUCACCAUGGGCUGUAGGCUGAGGAAGAGGACGAGCUGUGUAAACCAGUCACGCUGGUCAACAGGACAGACACUGGGGAGCUGGACCUCAUCAGGGAGUUCAGUUUAGACCCAAUGAUUCAUCUGACAAACAAAUAACUUUUCGUGCUGCCGGCCCAGGCAUGGAUCAAAGCUGGCGAGACAUUCAAUGACGUCAUCUUCACA
This 761-nucleotide long non-coding RNA is filed under the name Salmo salar (Atlantic salmon). Its description in RNAcentral is "lncRNA (ENSSSAG00000104830.1)". The record is from RNAcentral. Lineage: Eukaryota; Metazoa; Chordata; Actinopteri; Salmoniformes; Salmonidae.